Molecule: ribosomal RNA, 253 nt
Filed under: uncultured bacterium
Lineage: Bacteria
Description: partial 16S ribosomal RNA
Rfam family: Bacterial small subunit ribosomal RNA
Source: RNAcentral
UACGUAGGGUGCGAGCGUUGUCCGGAAUUAUUGGGCGUAAAGAGCUCGUAGGCGGUCUGUCGCGUCGGAUGUGAAAGCCCGGGGCUUAACUCCGGGUCUGCAUUCGAUACGGGCAGACUAGAGUGUGGUAGGGGAGAUCGGAAUUCCUGGUGUAGCGGUGGAAUGCGCAGAUAUCAGGAGGAACACCGAUGGCGAAGGCAGUUCUCUGGGCCGUAACUGACGCUGAGGAGCGAAAGCGUGGGUAGCGAACAGG